UUGAACGCUGGCGGCAUGCCUUACACAUGCAAGUCGAACGGCAGCACGGGGGCAACCCUGGUGGCGAGUGGCGAACGGGUGAGUAAUACAUUGGAACGUACCCUGCAGUGGGGGAUAACGUAGCGAAAGUUACGCUAAUACCGCAUAUUCUAUGAGUAGGAAAGCCGGGGAUCGCAAGACCUUGCGCUUUAGGAGCGGCCGAUGUCGGAUUAGCUAGUUGGUGAGGUAAAGGCUCACCAAGGCGACGAUCCGUAGCGGGUCUGAGAGGAUGAUCCGCCACACUGGGACUGAGACACGGCCCAGACUCCUACGGGAGGCAGCAGUGGGGAAUUUUGGACAAUGGGCGCAAGCCUGAUCCAGCCAUGCCGCGUGAGUGAAGAAGGCCUUCGGGUUGUAAAGCU
Molecule: ribosomal RNA, 401 nt
Filed under: uncultured bacterium
Lineage: Bacteria
Description: bacterial SSU rRNA
Rfam family: Bacterial small subunit ribosomal RNA
Source: RNAcentral